UACGUAGGGGGCAAGCGUUGUCCGGAUUUAUUGGGCGUAAAGAGCGUGUAGGCGGCCAGACAGGUCAGCUGUGAAAACUCGAGGCUCAACCUCGAGACGUCGGUUGAAACCGUCUGACUAGAGUUCGGGAGAGGAGAGUGGAAUUCCCAGUGUAGAGGUGAAAUUCGUAGAUAUUGGGAAGAACACCGGUGGCGAAGGCGGCUCUCUGGACCGAUACUGACGCUGAGGCGCGAAAGCGUGGGGAGCAAACAGG
Molecule: ribosomal RNA, 253 nt
Filed under: uncultured bacterium
Lineage: Bacteria
Description: partial 16S ribosomal RNA
Rfam family: Bacterial small subunit ribosomal RNA
Source: RNAcentral